This 460-nucleotide ribosomal RNA is filed under the name uncultured bacterium. RNAcentral describes it as "partial 16S ribosomal RNA". It matches the Rfam family "Bacterial small subunit ribosomal RNA", at positions 338 to 795 of the family's 1533-position model. The record is from RNAcentral.
CCUACGGUGCGCAGCAGUGAGGAAUAUUGGUCAAUGGACGGAAGUCUGAACCAGCCAUGCCGCGUGCAGGAAGACGGCUCUAUGAGUUGUAAACUGCUUUUGUACAAGGGUAAACCUGAAUACGUGUAUUCAGCUGAAAGUACUGUACGAAUAAGGAUCGGCUAACUCCGUGCCAGCAGCCGCGGUAAUACGGAGGAUCCAAGCGUUAUCCGGAUUUGUUGGGUUUAAAGGGUGCGUAGGCGGAUUGAUAAGUUAGAGGUGAAAUGUCCGAGCUUAACUCGGGAACUGCCUCUAAUACUGUUGAUCUAGAGAGUAGAUGCGGUAGGCGGAAUGUAUGGUGUAGCGGUGAAAUGCUUAGAGAUCAUACAGAACACCGAUUGCGAAGGCAGCUUACCAAUCUAUAUCUGACGUUGAGGCACGAAAGCGUGGGGAGCAAACAGGAUUAGAUACCCGAGUAGUC